GGGCCUCUGAGUGCUUAUUGCACCACAUGUGUUUUUCUUUGAAACAAACUUGCUUUGGCGGUGGGCCCAGCCUGCCGCCAGAGGUCUAAACUUACAACCAAUUUUUUAUCAACUUGUCACACCAGAUUAUUACUUAAUAGUCAAAACUUUCAACAACGGAUCUCUUGGUUCUCGCAUCGAUGAAGAACGCAGCGAAAUGCGAUACGUAAUAUGAAUUGCAGAUAUUCGUGAAUCAUCGAAUCUUUGAACGCACAUUGCGCCCUCUGGUAUUCCGGAGGGCAUGCCUGUUUGAGCGUCGUUUCUCCCUCAAACCGCUGGGUUUGGUGUUGAGCAAUACGACUUGGGUUUGCUUGAAAGACGGUAGUGGUAAGGCGGGAUCGCUUUGACAAUGGCUUAGGUCUAACCAAAAACAUUGCUUGCGGCGGUAACGUCUACCACGUAUAUCUUCAAACUUUGACCUCAAAUCAGGUAGGACUACCCGCUGAACUUAAGCAUAUCAAAAAGCGGAGGAA
This 512-nucleotide ribosomal RNA is filed under the name Candida albicans. RNAcentral describes it as "eukaryotic LSU rRNA". The stretch from base 145 to 298 matches the Rfam family "5.8S ribosomal RNA". The record is from RNAcentral. Lineage: Eukaryota; Fungi; Ascomycota; Pichiomycetes; Serinales; Debaryomycetaceae.